GAUGAAGAACGUAGCGAAAUGCGAUAAGUAGUGUGAAUUGCAGAAUUCAGUGAAUCAUCGAAUCUUUGAACGCACAUUGCGCCCCUUGGUAUCCCGAGGGGCAUGCCUGUUCGAGCGUCAUUUCACCACUCAAGCCUGGCUUGGUGUUGGGCGACGUCCUCUUUGGGGACGCGCCUCGAAACGCUCGGCGGCGUGGCACCGGCUUUAAGCGUAGCAGAAUCUUUCGCUUUGGAAGUCGGGGCCCCGUCUGCCGGAAGACCUGCUCGCAAGGUUGACCUCGGAUCAGGCAGGGAUACCCGCUGAGCUUAAGCAUAUCAAUAAGCGGAGGA
Molecule: unclassified non-coding RNA, 329 nt
Filed under: soil metagenome
Description: partial contains 5.8S ribosomal RNA, internal transcribed spacer 2, and large subunit ribosomal RNA
Rfam family: 5.8S ribosomal RNA (bases 1-120)
Source: RNAcentral